ACAGAAUCCGCCCACUGCAGCAAGCUAAACCCACCAUACAAUAAAAUUCAAUAACAUGAUAUGACAAUUAUUGUAAUUCACAGCCUUUCAAGGCUAAAUACAUAUUUCAUACAUUUCAACACAAAUAUCAAUUUAGCCAUUCAUGCAAAUAUUGUCAUAAGCCAUUCGAUUUCAAAUCAUAAAUUUACAAUAUAACAAGUGGUCUCCAAUUACUCUAUUUUUCAAAAUCAUUAUUCGAUUUUAA
RNAcentral lists this long non-coding RNA (244 nucleotides) under Theobroma cacao (cacao). Its description in RNAcentral is "long non-coding RNA (TCAC_LNC000434)". Lineage: Eukaryota; Viridiplantae; Streptophyta; Magnoliopsida; Malvales; Malvaceae. The record is from RNAcentral.